This 301-nucleotide ribosomal RNA is filed under the name uncultured bacterium. RNAcentral's name for it is "partial 16S ribosomal RNA". It matches the Rfam family "Bacterial small subunit ribosomal RNA", at positions 509 to 808 of the family's 1533-position model. The record is from RNAcentral.
CAGCCGCCGCGGGAAUACGUAGGUGGCAAGCGUUGUCCGGAAUUAUUGGGCGUAAAGCGCGCGCAGGCGGAUAGGUCAGUCUGUCUUAAAAGUUCGGGGCUUAACCCCGUGAUGGGAUGGAAACUGCCAAUCUAGAGUAUCGGAGAGGAAAGUGGAAUUCCUAGUGUAGCGGUGAAAUGCGUAGAUAUUAGGAAGAACACCAGUGGCGAAGGCGACUUUCUGGACGAAAACUGACGCUGAGGCGCGAAAGCCAGGGGAGCGAACGGGAUUAGAUACCCCCGUAGUCCCUGUCUCUUAUACC